Molecule: ribosomal RNA, 393 nt
Filed under: uncultured bacterium
Lineage: Bacteria
Description: partial 16S ribosomal RNA
Rfam family: Bacterial small subunit ribosomal RNA
Source: RNAcentral
AUACGGAGGAUCCGAGCGUUAUCCGGAUUUAUUGGGUUUAAAGGGUGCGCAGGCGGGAGAUUAAGUCGGCGGUGAAAUUUUGCAGCUCAACUGUAAAAAUGCCUUCGAAAAUGGUUUUCUUGAGUGUAGAUGAAGUAGGCGGAAUUUGUGGUGUAGCGGUGAAAUGCAUAGAUAUCUCGAGGAACUCCGAUUGCGCAGGCAGCUUACUAAACUACUACUGACGCUCAGGCACGAAGGCGUGGAGAUCAAACAGGAUUAGAUACCCUGGUAGGCCACGCAGUAAACGAUGAUUACUAGCUGUUUGCGAUACAAUGUAAGCGGCUGAGCGAAAGCGUUAAGUAAUCCACCUGGGGAGUACGUUCGCAAGAAUGAAACUCAAAGGAAUUGACGGGG